Molecule: ribosomal RNA, 253 nt
Filed under: uncultured bacterium
Lineage: Bacteria
Description: partial 16S ribosomal RNA
Rfam family: Bacterial small subunit ribosomal RNA
Source: RNAcentral
UACGUAGGGGGCAAGCGUUGUCCGGAAUCAUUGGGCGUAAAGAGCGUGUAGGCGGCCCGGUAAGUCCGCUGUGAAAGUCGGGGGCUCAACCCUCGAAUGCCGGUGGAUACUGUCGGGCUAGAGUGCGGAAGAGGCGAGUGGAAUUCCUGGUGUAGCGGUGAAAUGCGCAGAUAUCAGGAGGAACACCAAUUGCGAAGGCAGCUCGCUGGGACGUAACUGACGCUGAGACGCGAAAGCGUGGGGAGCGAACAGG